Molecule: ribosomal RNA, 253 nt
Filed under: uncultured bacterium
Lineage: Bacteria
Description: partial 16S ribosomal RNA
Rfam family: Bacterial small subunit ribosomal RNA
Source: RNAcentral
UACGAAGGGGGCUAGCGUUGUUCGGAAUUACUGGGCGUAAAGCGUACGUAGGCUGAUUUGUAAGUAGGGGGUUAAAUCCCCAGGCUCAACCUGGGAACUGCCUUAUAGACUGCAAGUCUCGAGAUCAGGAGAGGCGAGUGGAAUUCCGAGUGUAGAGGCGAAAUUGGUAGAUAUACGGAGGAACACCAGUGGCGAAGGCGACUCGCUGGACUGAUACUGACGCUGAGGUACGAAAGCGUGGGGAGCAAACAGG